CUUGGUGGAAUUCAAGACAAGAUUAAUUUAUACAUGGGACAUAGAUACACGAAAAUCCUUAAAAAUUACUUCUUGCCACGCCUGAAGCAGGCUUCUUUGCCUUGGGUUUUCAUGGGUACAUUGGACGGUUUUUGCCUGCUGGACGGGAUCCGUGCACGGCUUUAUUGCCGUGCCGUGGGGCAGUGGAAACUGGAAAACAGCACGGCGUGCCGUAUGCCGUGCCGGAAUGCCGUGCACGGUCGCCGUGCCGGAUGCGGUGUAAACGGGCCUUAACGUUAGUGAAAGUUGGAAGUGUAUCAAAGUUUUUCCGAAAUUCAGAAAUAUUGGUUGUUAUCACCUUAGGUUGUGUUGAUAUUGUGAGUUUUGAUAAUUCAAAAAUUUGACAGGUAGUACCUUUGAAGUGAAAGGCAGUGAUAUUGGCCAAGUGCAUUGAGCCGUUACUAACUGAUUUCCAGAAAUUUGCAGUUGCAGAUCGUAAGCAGAUAUGAGCCUCUCUUGGCAGCAGAUGAUGAUGAUGGUGAUGAGGAUGAUAAUGAUGAUCAGAACAUUGAAACCUUCAAACAGAGAAGACGAGUAAAGGGAGCAAAGAAGAG
Long non-coding RNA from Lytechinus pictus (painted urchin), 593 nucleotides. RefSeq lists it as uncharacterized. The transcript has 4 exons. The record is from RefSeq and is a predicted model, not a curated record. Lineage: Eukaryota; Metazoa; Echinodermata; Echinoidea; Temnopleuroida; Toxopneustidae.